UGGGGAAUUUUGGACAAUGGGCGAAAGCCUGAUCCAGCAAUGCCGCGUGUGUGAAGAAGGCCUUCGGGUUGUAAAGCACUUUUGUCCGGAAAGAAAUCCUUGGCUCUAAUACAGUCGGGGGAUGACGGUACCGGAAGAAUAAGCACCGGCUAACUACGUGCCAGCAGUCGCGGUAAUACGUAGGGUGCAAGCGUUAAUCGGAAUUACUGGGCGUAAAGCGUGCGCAGGCGGUUUGCUAAGACCGAUGUGAAAUCCCCGGGCUCAACCUGGGAACUGCAUUGGUGACUGGCAGGCUAGAGUAUGGCAGAGGGGGGUAGAAUUCCACGUGUAGCAGUGAAAUGCGUAGAGAUGUGGAGGAAUACCGAUGGCGAAGGCAGCCCCCCUGGGCCAAUACUGACGCUCAUGCACGAAAGCGUGGGGAGCAAACAGGAUUAGAUACCCUGGUAGUCCACGCCCUAAACGAUGUCAACUAGUUGUUGGGGAUUCAUUUCCUUAGUAACGUAGCUAACGCGUGAAGUUGACCGCCUGGGGAGUACGGUCGCAAGAUUAAAACUCAAAGGAAUUGACGGGGUCAUAGCUGUUUCCU
Molecule: ribosomal RNA, 586 nt
Filed under: uncultured bacterium
Lineage: Bacteria
Description: partial 16S ribosomal RNA
Rfam family: Bacterial small subunit ribosomal RNA
Source: RNAcentral